This 568-nucleotide ribosomal RNA is filed under the name Saccharomyces x bayanus. RNAcentral describes it as "eukaryotic LSU rRNA". It matches the Rfam family "Eukaryotic large subunit ribosomal RNA", at positions 62 to 644 of the family's 3401-position model. Lineage: Eukaryota; Fungi; Ascomycota; Saccharomycetes; Saccharomycetales; Saccharomycetaceae. The record is from RNAcentral.
AAACCAACCGGGAUUGCCUUAGUAACGGCGAGUGAAGCGGCAAAAGCUCAAAUUUGAAAUCUGGUACCUUUGGUGCCCGAGUUGUAAUUUGGAGAGGGCAACUUUGGGACCGUUCCUUGUCUAUGUUCCUUGGAACAGGACGUCAUAGAGGGUGAGAAUCCCGUGUGGCGAGGAGUGCGGUUCUAUGUAAAGUGCCUUCGAAGAGUCGAGUUGUUUGGGAAUGCAGCUCUAAGUGGGUGGUAAAUUCCAUCUAAAGCUAAAUAUUGGCGAGAGACCGAUAGCGAACAAGUACAGUGAUGGAAAGAUGAAAAGAACUUUGAAAAGAGAGUGAAAAAGUACGUGAAAUUGUUGAAAGGGAAGGGCAUUUGAUCAGACAUGGUGUUUUGCGCCCUCUGCUCCUUGUGGGUGGGGGAAUCUCGCAGUUCACUGGGCCAGCAUCAGUUUUGGUGGCAGGAUAAAUCCGUAGGAAUGUAACUUGCUUCGGGAAGUAUUAUAGCCUAUGGGAAUACUGCCAACUGGGACUGAGGACUGCGACGUAAGUCAAGGAUGCUGGCAUAAUGGUUAUAUG